RNAcentral lists this transfer RNA (76 nucleotides) under Chitinophagales bacterium. RNAcentral's name for it is "tRNA-Ile". It matches the Rfam family "tRNA". From Rfam's summary of the family: Transfer RNA (tRNA) molecules are approximately 80 nucleotides in length. The record is from RNAcentral. Lineage: Bacteria; Pseudomonadati; Bacteroidota; Chitinophagia; Chitinophagales.
GGGCCUGUAGCUCAGCGGUUAGAGCAGCGGACUCAUAAUCCGUUGGUCGUAGGUUCAAUCCCUACCAGGCCCACCA